AAAACGACUCUCGGCAACGGAUAUCUCGGCUCUCGCAUCGAUGAAGAGCGCAGCGAAAUGCGAUACUUGGUGUGAAUUGCAGGAUCCCGUGAACCAUCGAGUUUUUGAACGCAAGUUGCGCCCRAAGCCAUUCGGCCGAGGGCACGUCUGCCUGGGUGUCACUC
RNAcentral lists this ribosomal RNA (164 nucleotides) under Dichostemma glaucescens. Its description in RNAcentral is "5.8S ribosomal RNA". It matches the Rfam family "5.8S ribosomal RNA". Rfam says of the family: 5.8S ribosomal RNA (5.8S rRNA) is a component of the large subunit of the eukaryotic ribosome. It is transcribed by RNA polymerase I as part of the 45S precursor that also contains 18S and 28S rRNA. Lineage: Eukaryota; Viridiplantae; Streptophyta; Magnoliopsida; Malpighiales; Euphorbiaceae. The record is from RNAcentral.